RNAcentral lists this ribosomal RNA (253 nucleotides) under uncultured bacterium. RNAcentral's name for it is "partial 16S ribosomal RNA". It matches the Rfam family "Bacterial small subunit ribosomal RNA", at positions 524 to 776 of the family's 1533-position model. The record is from RNAcentral.
UACGAAGGGGGCUAGCGUUGCUCGGAAUCACUGGGCGUAAAGGGUGCGUAGGCGGGUCUUUAAGUCAGGGGUGAAACCCUGGAGCUCAACUCCAGAACUGCCUUUGAUACUGAGGAUCUUGAGUCCGGGAGAGGUGAGUGGAACUGCGAGUGUAGAGGUGAAAUUCGUAGAUAUUCGCAAGAACACCAGUGGCGAAGGCGGCUCACUGGCCCGGUACUGACGCUGAGGCACGAAAGCGUGGGGAGCAAACAGG